This is a long non-coding RNA of Ipomoea nil (Japanese morning glory), 499 nucleotides long. RefSeq lists it as uncharacterized. The transcript is spliced from 3 exons. Lineage: Eukaryota; Viridiplantae; Streptophyta; Magnoliopsida; Solanales; Convolvulaceae. The record is from RefSeq and is a predicted model, not a curated record.
AUGCAAUGAUGGUAUCGUUGCAUGUUUUUUGUCAUCAUAAAAAAGCUAAAACUAUACUGUAAGAAUGGUUCAACCUUUGUGCAUGGCUAUAGUCAACUUAGCAUAUCCAGAAAUCUGCAGAGUUGACGCAAACACGGAAUUACCCAGAAGCCAUUUGUGUGAACAUUAAGCAAUCAAAAGUGACAGAACUUCAAAUUCAACAGCAUAUAUAGUUAAAGCCGCGUCAAUCGCGUAACGACGUGCAUGGUUGUUGUCCUAAAAAACAUUCUGGGAAUUUUGAAUCAUCAGAUGAAGCGUGAAGACAAAGGUUGUGCUUUUCUUGUGUAAUUAGAGGAGCAGUUCUCCUACCCCUAUCCGUAUUUGAUCUAUAUAUUCAUUGGACGACCAAUAAGAUUCACCUAAUAUUCUGUUAUCCGAUCCACUCUAAUCUAAUGUGAUUUCUGUACAUGCCACGGCUAAAUAACAGGCAUGCACCCAAUUUAAUAAUUAUUAUUUAUUG